RNAcentral lists this ribosomal RNA (445 nucleotides) under uncultured bacterium. RNAcentral describes it as "bacterial SSU rRNA". It matches the Rfam family "Bacterial small subunit ribosomal RNA", at positions 330 to 792 of the family's 1533-position model. The record is from RNAcentral.
UCCAGACUCCUACGGGAGGCAGCAGUGGGGAAUAUUGCACAAUGGGCGAAAGCCUGAUGCAGCGACGCCGCGUGAGUGAAGAAGUAUUUCGGUAUGUAAAGCUCUCUCAGCAGGGAAGAAAAUGACGGUACCUGACUAAGAAGCCCCGGCUAACUACGUGCCAGCAGCCGCGGUAAUACGUAGGGGGCAAGCGUUAUCCGGAUUUACUGGGUGUAAAGGGAGCGUAGACGGCGAAGCAAGUCUGAAGUGAAAACCCAGGGCUCAACCCUGGGACUGCUUUGGAACCUGUUUUGCUAGAGUGUCGGAGAGGUAAGUGGAAUUCCUAGUGUAGCGGUGAAAUGCGUAGAUAUUAGGAGGAACACCAGUGGCGAAGGCAGCUCACUGGACUGCAACUGACACUGAGGCUCGAAAGUGUGGGUAUCAAACAGGAUUAGAUACCCGUGUA